This 503-nucleotide long non-coding RNA is filed under the name Mus musculus (house mouse). RNAcentral's name for it is "Hand2, opposite strand 1". The record is from RNAcentral. Lineage: Eukaryota; Metazoa; Chordata; Mammalia; Rodentia; Muridae.
AACAGAUGCUUCGCUAUUAAAAUAUUUCCCCCCAAUACUGAAGAAUCUUAAACCAGCAACCCUAACAGAGAUUGCGAAGAUUUUCAAAGUGGGGCACCUCGAUUUCUCGAAUCUGUGGUGUGGCGAAUAUCCGUGUUCCUCCUGCUUAACUAGCCUGUUUGAAGGCACAGUUCAUUCUCGAGCAAUUCGUCACCUCCUGGGGGUCUUCUCUUCCCGUCUACAGGAGAGUGUGACUUCAGAAAGAACUUCGGAUUGGCCAAGACAGAGUUGGAGAUGGGCUACCAUUGGUGUUGAUUGAGAUGACAAGCAGUCACCUGAGCCCAUACAGCUGUGGGAGAAAGUGCUUGCUGCCAAGCUUGAUGACCUAAAUUGAAUACCUGGAACCUACACGACAGAAAGAGAGAGCUGACUGCUGAAAGAUGUCCUCAGAUCUUCACAUGUGCACAGUGGCACCUAUCCAACCAUGCACAUAGUAUAUUAAAAAUUAUUUUUUAAAAAAUCCA